RNAcentral lists this long non-coding RNA (359 nucleotides) under Theobroma cacao (cacao). RNAcentral's name for it is "long non-coding RNA (TCAC_LNC000727)". The record is from RNAcentral. Lineage: Eukaryota; Viridiplantae; Streptophyta; Magnoliopsida; Malvales; Malvaceae.
AACCUGGCCACACAGCUAGCAAUUGUCCAAAUGAGGGAAUCUGCCACACCUGUGGGAAGGCUGGACAUCGGGCCAGAGACUGCACAGCACCCCCAAUGCCACCUGGGGAUGUGAGGUUAUGCAAUAAUUGCUAUAAGCCUGGUCAUAUUGCAGCUGAUUGUACAAAUGACAAGGCGUGCAACAACUGUAGAAGGCCAGGUCACUUGGCACGUGACUGUACAAAUGAUCCCAUCUGCAACUUGUGCAAUGUAGCUGGACAUGUAGCAAGGCAAUGCCCGAAAGCCAACAUUAUUGGAGAUCGAGGUGGUGGUGGUCGCAGUGGUGGUUACCGAGACCAUCGAGAUAUUGUGUGUCGAAAC